GCGGGCGUAGCUCAGUGGUAGAGCACAACCUUGCCAAGGUUGGGGUCGAGGGUUCAAGUCCCUUCGCCCGCUCCA
This 75-nucleotide transfer RNA is filed under the name Alphaproteobacteria bacterium. RNAcentral's name for it is "tRNA-Gly". It matches the Rfam family "tRNA". Rfam says of the family: Transfer RNA (tRNA) molecules are approximately 80 nucleotides in length. Their secondary structure includes four short double-helical elements and three loops (D, anti-codon, and T loops). Lineage: Bacteria; Pseudomonadati; Pseudomonadota; Alphaproteobacteria. RNAcentral also lists the same sequence under 1 other name. The record is from RNAcentral.